Molecule: non-coding RNA, 167 nt
Organism: Macaca mulatta (Rhesus monkey)
Lineage: Eukaryota; Metazoa; Chordata; Mammalia; Primates; Cercopithecidae
Source: RefSeq, a predicted model, not a curated record
ACAAUGACGAAGACAAUAAAUGAGAAGAUGGAGAAGGACAAAACUGGGAUUCAGAAGGUUCAGCAGGUAUGCCACCAGAGGAUGCGCACCUAACCACCAGGUACCUUACCUGUGAGGCUAAUACAAGUUCCCUGAGUUUUCCCAACUCCAGAGAAAACAUAUCAGGA